GGGUUGUGAGGUUAAGCGACUAAGCGUACACGGUGGAUGCCCUGGCAGUCAGAGGCGAUGAAGGACGUGCUAAUCUGCGAAAAGCGUCGGUAAGGUGAUAUGAACCGUUAUAGCCGGCGAUGUCCGAAUGGGGAAACCCAGUGCAAUUCGUUGCACUAUCGUUAACUGAAUACAUAGGUUAACGAGGCGAACCGGGGGAACUGAAACAUCUAAGUACCCCGAGGAAAAGAAAUCAACCGAGAUUCCCCCAGUAGCGGCGAGCGAACGGGGAGCAGCCCAGAGUCUGAAUCAGCUUGUGUGUUAGUGGAACGGUCUGGAAAGUCCGACGGUACAGGGUGAUAGUCCCGUACACCAAAAUGCACAGGCUGUGAACUCGAAGAGUAGGGCGGGACACGUGGUAUCCUGUCUGAAUAUGGGGGGACCAUCCUCCAAGGCUAAAUACUCCUGACUGACCGAUAGUGAACCAGUACCGUGAGGGAAAGGCGAAAAGAACCCCGGCGAGGGGAGUGAAAAAGAACCUGAAACCGUGUACGUACAAGCAGUGGGAGCACCUUCGGGUGUGACUGCGUACCUUUUGUAUAAUGGGUCAGCGACUUAUAUUCUGUAGCAAGGUUAACCGUAUAGGGGAGCCGCAGGGAAACCGAGUCUUAACUGGGCGUUAAGUUGCAGGGUAUAGACCCGAAACCCGGUGAUCUAGCCAUGGGCAGGUUGAAGGUUGGGUAACACUAACUGGAGGACCGAACCGACUAAUGUUGAAAAAUUAGCGGAUGACUUGUGGCUGGGGGUGAAAGGCCAAUCAAACCGGGAGAUAGCUGGUUCUCCCCGAAAGCUAUUUAGGUAGCGCCUCGUGAACUCAUCUUCGGGGGUAGAGCACUGUUUCGGCUAGGGGGUCAUCCCGACUUACCAACCCGAUGCAAACUACGAAUACCGAAGAAUGUUAUCACGGGAGACACACGGCGGGUGCUAACGUCCGUCGUGAAGAGGGAAACAACCCAGACCGCCAGCUAAGGUCCCAAAGUCAUGGUUAAGUGGGAAACGAUGUGGGAAGGCACAGACAGCCAGGAUGUUGGCUUAGAAGCAGCCAUCAUUUAAAGAAAGCGUAAUAGCUCACUGGUCGAGUCGGCCUGCGCGGAAGAUGUAACGGGGCUAAACCAUGCACCGAAGCUGCGGCAGCGACACUAUGUGUUGUUGGGUAGGGGAGCGUUCUGUAAGCCUGCGAAGGUGACCUGUGAGGGUUGCUGGAGGUAUCAGAAGUGCGAAUGCUGACAUAAGUAACGAUAAAGCGGGUGAAAAGCCCGCUCGCCGGAAGACCAAGGGUUCCUGUCCAACGUUAAUCGGGGCAGGGUGAGUCGACCCCUAAGGCGAGGCCGAAAGGCGUAGUCGAUGGGAAACAGGUUAAUAUUCCUGUACUUGGUGUUACUGCGAAGGGGGGACGGAGAAGGCUAUGUUAGCCGGGCGACGGUUGUCCCGGUUUAAGCAUGUAGGCUGGUUGUCCAGGCAAAUCCGGAUAAUCAAGGCUGAGGUGUGAUGACGAGGUACUACGGUGCUGAAGUAACAAAUGCCCUGCUUCCAGGAAAAGCCUCUAAGCAUCAGGUAACAUCAAAUCGUACCCCAAACCGACACAGGUGGUCAGGUAGAGAAUACCAAGGCGCUUGAGAGAACUCGGGUGAAGGAACUAGGCAAAAUGGUGCCGUAACUUCGGGAGAAGGCACGCUGGUGUGUAGGUGAAGUCCCUGCGGAUGGAGCUGAGACCAGUCGAAGAUACCAGCUGGCUGCAACUGUUUAUUAAAAACACAGCACUGUGCAAACACGAAAGUGGACGUAUACGGUGUGACGCCUGCCCGGUGCCGGAAGGUUAAUUGAUGGGGUUAUCCGUAAGGAGAAGCUCUUGAUCGAAGCCCCGGUAAACGGCGGCCGUAACUAUAACGGUCCUAAGGUAGCGAAAUUCCUUGUCGGGUAAGUUCCGACCUGCACGAAUGGCGUAAUGAUGGCCAGGCUGUCUCCACCCGAGACUCAGUGAAAUUGAACUCGCUGUGAAGAUGCAGUGUACCCGCGGCAAGACGGAAAGACCCCGUGAACCUUUACUAUAGCUUGACACUGAACAUUGAGCCUUGAUGUGUAGGAUAGGUGGGAGGCUUUGAAGCGUGGACGCCAGUCUGCGUGGAGCCAACCUUGAAAUACCACCCUUUAAUGUUUGAUGUUCUAACGUUGGCCCCUUAUCGGGGUUGCGGACAGUGUCUGGUGGGUAGUUUGACUGGGGCGGUCUCCUCCCAAAGCGUAACGGAGGAGCACGAAGGUUAGCUAAUCCUGGUCGGACAUCAGGAGGUUAGUGCAAUGGCAUAAGCUAGCUUGACUGCGAGCGUGACGGCGCGAGCAGGUGCGAAAGCAGGUCAUAGUGAUCCGGUGGUUCUGAAUGGAAGGGCCAUCGCUCAACGGAUAAAAGGUACUCCGGGGAUAACAGGCUGAUACCGCCCAAGAGUUCAUAUCGACGGCGGUGUUUGGCACCUCGAUGUCGGCUCAUCACAUCCUGGGGCUGAAGUAGGUCCCAAGGGUAUGGCUGUUCGCCAUUUAAAGUGGUACGCGAGCUGGGUUUAGAACGUCGUGAGACAGUUCGGUCCCUAUCUGCCGUGGGCGCUGGAGAAUUGAGGGGGGCUGCUCCUAGUACGAGAGGACCGGAGUGGACGCAUCACUGGUGUUCGGGUUGUCAUGCCAAUGGCACUGCCCGGUAGCUAAAUGCGGAAGAGAUAAGUGCUGAAAGCAUCUAAGCACGAAACUUGCCCCGAGAUGAGUUCUCCCUGAGACUUUAAGUCUCCUGAAGGAACGUUAAAGACGAUGACGUUGAUAGGCCGGGUGUGUAAGCGCAGCGAUGCGUUGAGCUAACCGGUACUAAUGAACCGUGAGGCUUAACCUUACAACGCCGAAG
RNAcentral lists this ribosomal RNA (2923 nucleotides) under Klebsiella pneumoniae. Its description in RNAcentral is "23S ribosomal RNA". It matches the Rfam family "Bacterial large subunit ribosomal RNA". The record is from RNAcentral. Lineage: Bacteria; Pseudomonadati; Pseudomonadota; Gammaproteobacteria; Enterobacterales; Enterobacteriaceae.